CAUUAUCCAGGCCAGUGGAAUAAAACACUUCCCUACUAGAUACUAACACAAGCAGACCCUUUUUUUCAACAUCCUUAAAAAAAGGUACUUUAAAGGCGAAAAUGGUGCCAAGCGGAAUUCCGGAAUCAUUUUGAUCAGUGACUAAAUGACCAUAGACUAAUCCUGAGCCUGCAUCGGUGUACUUCAAAAAGAUAGAAACGCGAUCG
Daphnia pulicaria is the source of this 206-nucleotide long non-coding RNA. RefSeq lists it as uncharacterized. The record is from RefSeq and is a predicted model, not a curated record. NCBI's taxonomy places the organism in Eukaryota, Metazoa, Arthropoda, Branchiopoda, Diplostraca, Daphniidae. The transcript is spliced from 2 exons.